Non-coding RNA from Bombardia bombarda, 87 nucleotides. NCBI's taxonomy places the organism in Eukaryota, Fungi, Ascomycota, Sordariomycetes, Sordariales, Lasiosphaeriaceae. The record is from the annotation of a GenBank genome assembly.
GCAUCAAUGGGCUAGUGGUCAGGAUUCAACCCUUCCAAGAUUGAGGGGGGGGGGGGGGGGGGGGGGUUUCGAUUCCCUCUUGAUGCA